UACGUAGGUGGCAAGCGUUGUCCGGAUUUACUGGGCGUAAAGAGCGCGCAGGCGGUUGCUCAAGUCGCGUGUGAAAGCCCCCGGCUCAACUGGGGAGGGUCACGCGAUACUGAUCGACUCGAAGGCAGGAGAGGGAAGUGGAAUUCCCGGUGUAGUGGUGAAAUGCGUAGAUAUCGGGAGGAACACCAGUGGCGAAGGCGACUUCCUGGCCUGUUCUUGACGCUGAGGCGCGAAAGCUAGGGGAGCAAACGGG
This 253-nucleotide ribosomal RNA is filed under the name uncultured bacterium. Its description in RNAcentral is "partial 16S ribosomal RNA". It matches the Rfam family "Bacterial small subunit ribosomal RNA", at positions 524 to 776 of the family's 1533-position model. The record is from RNAcentral.